Molecule: transfer RNA, 79 nt
Filed under: Streptomyces sp. R301
Lineage: Bacteria; Bacillati; Actinomycetota; Actinomycetes; Kitasatosporales; Streptomycetaceae
Also listed under: 1 other name
Description: tRNA-Ser
Source: RNAcentral
AGGUCAGAGGCUUCACGAAACCGAUCGGUCUUGAAAACCGUCGUGGCGCGAGUCACCGUGGGUUCAAAUCCCACCCCCA